UACAGAGGGGGCAAGCGUUGUUCGGAAUUACUGGGCGUAAAGGGCGCGUAGGCGGCCUUCUAAGUCAUGCGUGAAAUCCCCGGGCUCAACCCGGGAACUGCGUCUGAUACUGGAAGGCUUGAAUCCGGGAGAGGGAUGCGGAAUUCCAGGUGUAGCGGUGAAAUGCGUAGAUAUCUGGAGGAACACCGGUGGCGAAGGCGGCAUCCUGGACCAAUACUGACGCUGAGGAGCGAAAGCCAGGGGAGCAAACGGG
RNAcentral lists this ribosomal RNA (253 nucleotides) under uncultured bacterium. RNAcentral describes it as "partial 16S ribosomal RNA". It matches the Rfam family "Bacterial small subunit ribosomal RNA", at positions 524 to 776 of the family's 1533-position model. The record is from RNAcentral.